GACGUAGGAGGCGAGCGUUGUCCGGAAUUAUUGGGCGUAAAGAGCUCGUAGGCGGUGUGUCGCGUCGGCCGUGAAAACCUGCAGCUUAACUGUGGGCGUGCGGUCGAUACGGGCAUCACUGGAGUUCGGCAGGGGAGACUGGAAUUCCUGGUGUAGCGGUGAAAUGCGCAGAUAUCAGGAGGAACACCGGUGGCGAAGGCGGGUCUCUGGGCCGAUACUGACGCUGAGGAGCGAAAGCGUGGGGAGCGAACAGG
Molecule: ribosomal RNA, 254 nt
Filed under: uncultured bacterium
Lineage: Bacteria
Description: partial 16S ribosomal RNA
Rfam family: Bacterial small subunit ribosomal RNA
Source: RNAcentral